Mastomys coucha (southern multimammate mouse) is the source of this 417-nucleotide long non-coding RNA. RefSeq lists it as uncharacterized. Lineage: Eukaryota; Metazoa; Chordata; Mammalia; Rodentia; Muridae. The record is from RefSeq and is a predicted model, not a curated record. The transcript is spliced from 3 exons.
GAAAAUGCCAGAAAACCAGAACAGCAUUAUUCUGGAAGCUUGCACUCAGAUGGAGUAUAUGACCUAAGAAUAAAGUGUUCUUCAGGCGCAACAGACCAUUGCAACGCAGCAUCCACAGGUGGAAAGAGGAGGAUUCCAGUUGGAGGUCAUCUGAGCACAGAGUAAGAUCAGAGAAACCAUGCCGCAGAAGAGGAAAGCAGGACAAUGCAAAAUAGUUCAAAAUGACAGCACUAUGGUACUACAAAAUAUCUUGAGGACUAUAAAGGAAAGAAAACUGAAGAGCUGUGUGACAGAAUGUGAGCCACAGAAUGCAAGGAUGAGGAAAUGAGAGCUUGAAGUGUAUGCUGAAAAUCCAGAUGCAGGUAAGCAGUCUGUGAACACACAUUGGAUAAGAAAAAGUAAAAGAAUUAACUGGCA